UAAUACGUAGGGCGCAAGCGUUGUCCGGAAUUAUUGGGCGUAAAGAGCUCGUAGGCGGUUUGUCGCGUCUGUCGUGAAAGCUUGGGGCUUAACCCUAAGUCUGCGGUGGAUACGGGCAGACUAGAGGCAGGUAGGGGAGAACGGAAUUCCCGGUGUAGCGGUGAAAUGCGCAGAUAUCGGGAGGAACACCGGUGGCGAAGGCGGUUCUCUGGGCCUGUACUGACGCUGAGGAGCGAAAGCGUGGGGAGCGAACAGGAUUAGAUACCCUGGUAGUCCACGCCGUAAACGUUGGGCGCUAGGUGUGGGGUCCUUCCACGGAUUCCGCGCCGCAGCUAACGCAUUAAGCGCCCCGCCUGGGGAGUACGGCCGCAAGGCUA
RNAcentral lists this ribosomal RNA (377 nucleotides) under uncultured bacterium. Its description in RNAcentral is "bacterial SSU rRNA". It matches the Rfam family "Bacterial small subunit ribosomal RNA", at positions 521 to 896 of the family's 1533-position model. The record is from RNAcentral.